CCUACGGGAGGCAGCAGUGGGGAAUAUUGGACAAUGGGCGAAAGCCUGAUCCAGCCAUGCCGCGUGUGUGAAGAAGGCCUUCGGGUUGUAAAGCACUUUCAGUGGGGAAGAAAGCCUUGGGGCUAAUACCCUCGAGGAAGGACAUCACCCACAGAAGAAGCACCGGCUAACUCCGUGCCAGCAGCCGCGGUAAUACGGAGGGUGCGAGCGUUAAUCGGAAUUACUGGGCGUAAAGCGCGCGUAGGCGGUCUGAUAAGCCGGUUGUGAAAGCCCCGGGCUCAACCUGGGAACGGCAUCCGGAACUGUCAGGCUAGAGUGCAGGAGAGGAAGGUAGAAGUCACGGUGUAGCGGUGAAAUGCGUAGAGAUCGGGAGGAAUACCAGUGGCGAAGGCGGCCUUCUGGACUGACACUGACGCUGAGGUGCGAAAGCGUGGGUAGCAAACAGGAGUAGAUACCCCUGUAGUC
Molecule: ribosomal RNA, 465 nt
Filed under: Vreelandella stevensii
Lineage: Bacteria; Pseudomonadati; Pseudomonadota; Gammaproteobacteria; Oceanospirillales; Halomonadaceae
Description: partial 16S ribosomal RNA
Rfam family: Bacterial small subunit ribosomal RNA
Source: RNAcentral